Long non-coding RNA from Melopsittacus undulatus (budgerigar), 272 nucleotides. RefSeq lists it as uncharacterized. The record is from RefSeq and is a predicted model, not a curated record. The transcript is spliced from 3 exons. Lineage: Eukaryota; Metazoa; Chordata; Aves; Psittaciformes; Psittaculidae.
UCAGAGUAUUUUCUGAAAAAGUCCUGCAGUGCAGAGGAGUCAAACAUUUGAUCACAUGCAGCAGCACAAGAUAGAUGGAGUACAGCUGACUCAACAGCUACAGGGGAUUUGGAAUGGAAACAAUCACUUGCUUGAAGGAAACAAUGUUAUCCAACUUGUGGUGUCAGUCAGCCUAUUCCCACAGUCACUGCAUUGAUGGAGGAAAAUUUUGUCCAAGAUGAACCUGGGCUUGUGUUAGUCUCUCAGCAAUUUUGAAAUCGCACUGUCUCCAC